RNAcentral lists this ribosomal RNA (253 nucleotides) under uncultured bacterium. RNAcentral's name for it is "partial 16S ribosomal RNA". It matches the Rfam family "Bacterial small subunit ribosomal RNA", at positions 524 to 776 of the family's 1533-position model. The record is from RNAcentral.
UACGUAGGGUGCGAGCGUUAAUCGGAAUUACUGGGCGUAAAGCGUGCGCAGGCGGUUCGUUGUGUCCGAUGUGAAAGCCCCGGGCUUAACCUGGGGAUGGCAUUGGAAACUGGCGAGCUUGAGUGCGGCAGAGGGGGGUGGAAUUCCGCGUGUAGCAGUGAAAUGCGUAGAGAUGCGGAGGAACACCGAUGGCGAAGGCAGCCCCCUGGGUCGACACUGACGCUCAGGCACGAAAGCGUGGGGAGCAAACAGG